RNAcentral lists this ribosomal RNA (484 nucleotides) under uncultured bacterium. RNAcentral describes it as "partial 16S ribosomal RNA". It matches the Rfam family "Bacterial small subunit ribosomal RNA", at positions 29 to 507 of the family's 1533-position model. The record is from RNAcentral.
AUUGAACGCUGGCGGCAGGCCUAACACAUGCAAGUCGAGCGGAAGGAGGGUGCUUGCUCCUGGUUUCAGAGGCGGACGGGUGAGUGAUGCCUAGGAAUAUGCCUGGUAGUGGGGGAUAACGUCCGCAAACGGGCGCUGAUACCGCCUACGACGUGCGGGUGAAGGUGGGGGAGGUUCGGACCUCAUCCUCUCAGAUGAGCCUAGGUCGGAUUAGCUAGUUGGUGGGGGAAAGGCCUACCAAGGCGAGGAUCCGUAACUGGUCUGAGAGGAGGAUCAGUCACCCUGGAGCGGAGACAGGGUCCUGACGCCUACGGGAGGCAGCAGUGGGGAAUAGGGGGCAACGGGCGAAAGUCUGACCCAGCCAGGCCGCGCGUGAGAAGAAGGCCUUCGGAUCGUAAAGCACGCUUAGGGGGUAUGAACGGCAUUAGGUUAAUACCUUGCGGGAUUGACGGUACUAACAGAAGAAGCACCGGCUAACUUCGUG